GACAUCAACUGAUACACGCACAGGGCUCGCAGCAGAGAUGCGCUAACGCUCAAUUUUAUGCUCAUGAGCUGGAAAGCAACACCUCCCUGGCUGUGUUGUCAUGUUCACUUACCUGUCAAUCAGGGGGCCCCCUCCCUGGAAGUACCUCCUCUUACCCAGGACGUGGGGGUGGUACCCCAUGAACACUUCAUUUUUCUAAGAUCAUAAAAAACCCAGGUGGAACGGAAGCACUUUCUCCCCUCCUCAUGGACUCUGGACGAGCAGAGCCAGGACAGGUGAACAGGCCUCCCAGGGGUGCCAUCUCAUGAAGACCAAGCCUAACAGGAGACACCCCCAGGGAAAGAUGACAACCUCGGGUGGAAGCUGUCCAACACGACACAGUCCUUGCACUGGAAGACAGCUCUGCCAAGAGGAGGCGGCUCUUAGAACAGCCCCAGGUCUUGGCCUUGGCUCAACUGCAGACACACACCCAGUGGUAGCAGCUCUCCUGCUUCCAACGAAUACACAAAUACAAAACUAA
Oryctolagus cuniculus (rabbit) is the source of this 520-nucleotide non-coding RNA. Lineage: Eukaryota; Metazoa; Chordata; Mammalia; Lagomorpha; Leporidae. The record is from RefSeq and is a predicted model, not a curated record.